AGGGUUGAUAAGAAAUUAAAUGUUAUUCAUUAUGCUAGUAAGACUCUAGACAAUGCUCAAAGAAAUUAUGCUACUACUGAAAAAGAGCUUUUAGCAGUUGUAUUUUCUUGUGAUAAGUUCAGACCUUAUAUUAUUGAUUCUAAAGUAACUAUUCACACUAAUCAUGCUGCUAUUAAAUACCUUAUGGAAAAGAAAGAUGCUAAACCUAGACUUAUUAGAUGGGUUUUCUUGCUACAAGAAUUUGAUUUGCAUAUUGUUGAUAGAAAGGGAGCUGAGAACCCCGUUGCAAACAACUUGUCUAGGUUAGAAAAUAUUCUUGAUGACCCACUACCUAUUAAUGAUGACUUUCCUGAUGAACAAUUAAAUGUUAUAAGUACUUCUCGUAGUACUCCAUGGUAUGCUGAUUAUGCUAAUUAUAUUGUUGCUAAGUUUAUACCACCUAGCUUCACAUACCAGCAAAAGAAAAAGUUCUUCUAUGACUUGAGACAUUACUUUUGGGAUGACCCACAUCUUUAUAAAGAAGGAGUAGAUGGUGUUAUUAGACGUUGUGUACCUGAGCAUGAACAGGAACAGAUCCUACGCAAGUGUCAUUCCGAGUCUUAUGGAGGACACCACACUGGAGAUAGAACUGCACAUAAGGUAUUGCAAUCUGGUUUUUAUUGGUCUACUCUCUUCAAGGAUGCCCGUAAGUUUGUCUUGUCUUGUGAUGAAUGUCAAAGAAUUGGUAAUAUUUGUAGACGUCAAGAAAUGCCUAUGAAUUAUUCACUUGUUAUUGAACCAUUUGAUGUUUGGGGCUUUGAUUAUAUGUGA
This 810-nucleotide ribosomal RNA is filed under the name Triticum aestivum (bread wheat). RNAcentral describes it as "partial small subunit ribosomal RNA". The record is from RNAcentral. Lineage: Eukaryota; Viridiplantae; Streptophyta; Magnoliopsida; Poales; Poaceae.